RNAcentral lists this ribosomal RNA (301 nucleotides) under uncultured bacterium. Its description in RNAcentral is "partial 16S ribosomal RNA". It matches the Rfam family "Bacterial small subunit ribosomal RNA", at positions 509 to 807 of the family's 1533-position model. The record is from RNAcentral.
CAGUCGCCGCGGGAAUACCGAGGGUGCGAGCGUUAAUCGGAAUUACUGGGCGUAAAGCGCGCGUAGACGGUUUGGUAAGUCAGAUGUGAAAUCCCUGGGCUCAACCUGGGAACUGCAUUUGAUACUGCCUGGCUAGAGUAUCGAAGAGGGAAGUGGAAUUUCCGGUGUAGCGGUGAAAUGCGUAGAUAUCGGAAGGAACACCAGUGGCGAAAGCGACUUCCUGGUCGAAUACUGACGUUCAUGUGCGAAAGCGUGGGGAGCAAACAGGAUUAGAUACCCCGGUAGUCCCUGUCUCUUAUAC